Molecule: non-coding RNA, 46 nt
Organism: Schistosoma mattheei
Lineage: Eukaryota; Metazoa; Platyhelminthes; Trematoda; Strigeidida; Schistosomatidae
Source: Rfam
GCACUACUGAGGAGUCUCACAAUUGGACGAAACGGCAGUCCAGUAC